Molecule: ribosomal RNA, 504 nt
Filed under: uncultured bacterium
Lineage: Bacteria
Description: partial 16S ribosomal RNA
Rfam family: Bacterial small subunit ribosomal RNA
Source: RNAcentral
GAUGAACGCUAGCUACAGGCUUAACACAUGCAAGUCGAGGGGCAGCAUGACGGAAGCUUGCUUCCGUUGAUGGCGACCGGCGCACGGGUGAGUAACGCGUAUCCAACCUGCCCUUGUCCAUCGGAUAACCCGUCGAAAGGCGGACUAACACGAUAUGCAGUUCUCAGCAGGCAUCUAACGAGAACGAAAUGUGAAGGAGAAGGAUGGGGAUGCGUCUGAUUAGCUUGUUGGCGGGGUAACGGCCCACCAAGGAGACGAUCAGUAGGGGUUGUGAGGGGAAGGUCCCCCACAUUGGGACUGAGACACGGUCCAACAUCCUACGGGAGGCAGAAGUGAGGAAUAUUGGUCAAUGGGCGAGAGCCUGAACCAGCCAAGUAGCGUGCAGGAUGACGGCCCUAUGGGUUGUAAACUGCUUUUAUACGGGGAUAAAGUGGGCCACGUGUGGCUUAUUGCAGGUACCGUAUGAAUAAGGACCGGCUAAUUCCGUGCCAGCCGCCGCGGUAA